RNAcentral lists this ribosomal RNA (492 nucleotides) under uncultured bacterium. Its description in RNAcentral is "partial 16S ribosomal RNA". It matches the Rfam family "Bacterial small subunit ribosomal RNA", at positions 29 to 507 of the family's 1533-position model. The record is from RNAcentral.
AGUGAACGCUGGCGGUAGGCCUAACACAUGCAAGUCGAACGGCAGCACAGUAAGAGCUUGCUCUUACGGGUGGCGAGUGGCGGACGGGUGAGGAAUACAUCGGAAUCUACUUUUUCGUGGGGGAUAACGUAGGGAAACUUACGCUAAUACCGCAUACGACCUACGGGUGAAAGCAGGGGAUCUUCGGACCUUGCGCGAUUGAAUGAGCCGAUGUCGGAUUAGCUAGUUGGCGGGGUAAAGGCCCACCAAGGCGACGAUCCGUAGCUGGUCUGAGAGGAUGAUCAGCCACACUGGAACUGAGACACGGUCCAGACUCCUACGGGAGGCAGCAGUGGGGAAUAUUGGACAAUGGGCGCAAGCCUGAUCCAGCAAUACCGCGUGGGUGAAGAAGGCCUUCGGGUUGUAAAGCCCUUUUGUUGGGAAAGAAAAGCAGCAGGUUAAUACCCCGCUGUUCUGACGGUACCCAAAGAAUAAGCACCGGCUAACCUCGUG